RNAcentral lists this long non-coding RNA (1000 nucleotides) under Homo sapiens (human). RNAcentral's name for it is "HSALNT0119250". Lineage: Eukaryota; Metazoa; Chordata; Mammalia; Primates; Hominidae. The record is from RNAcentral.
GAAAUAUGAUGUGUCGAUGGUUAAAAGAAUUCGUCUGAUUUUUGAGGGUAGGUAAUGAGAAAUGAAAGUUUCCAUCUCGUUCUCUUUGGAUACUCUGCUUUGGGGCUCUGAGCCAUGAUGUAAGAUGUUUGAGGCCGCCAUCUGGUAAGCCCAGGCCAUAUGUAGAUUAUGUGACCAACAGCUCCAGCUGAGGAUCCUGCCAACAGCUAGCAUGCAUCCAGGUGAUUCCCACUCCCAGCCUUUAAGUCCUUCCAGCUGAGGCCUCAGAUAUCAUGGAGCAGAGACAAAUGUGGACACAUACCUCUCAUGAAGUGCCUUUUCAGGAAUUAAUUCUGCUGUUAGAGAAGUACCUAUGUCUUCAGAGAAUGUAAAGGUCAUAAGACCCUCAUUUCAGAAGAGGUCCUGCCCAUACCUGGAAGGGAUGCUACACAGUGAGACCAAGAAGACUGAACAGAGAGGCCUUUCUGGGUUUCCCCUCUGAGUCUAUUAGCAUCAGCUGUAUCCCUUUUGUUCCAUCACAUUUCUACAUGGUUGCUCAGUCUUCAAUCGUGCCCAUUCAGUGAAAUCUCCAUAAGACGCCCAAAGAGGAUGGGGUACAGAGAGCUUGGACAGCUGAACACAAAGAGACUUACAGGAAAGUGAACAAGACUCAUCUACAGUAGGGUGGGAGCACCCUAACUCCAUGCGAAUGGAAGCUCCUGCACUUGGUACCUUUUCAAACCUCGCACUAUGAAUUUCUUUAUCUGGCUUUUUAUUUAUAUCCUUUAAAAUAUCUUUUAUAAUAAAUGGAUAAAUGUGUUUCCCUGAGUUUUGUGAGCUGCUCUAGCAAAUUGACUACGCUUAAAGAGGGGGUUGUGGGAACCCCAACCGGAAGCUGGUAGAUCAGAAGUUCAGAGGCCUGGACUUGCGACUGGUGUCUGACGCGGGGCAGUCUUGUGGGAACUGACACUAUCUCCUGGAAGAUGACAUAAGAAUUGAAUUGGAUUAGAAGACGCCCAGC